RNAcentral lists this long non-coding RNA (11728 nucleotides) under Solanum lycopersicum (tomato). RNAcentral describes it as "long non-coding RNA (SLYC_LNC000842)". Lineage: Eukaryota; Viridiplantae; Streptophyta; Magnoliopsida; Solanales; Solanaceae. The record is from RNAcentral.
GAUGGAAGAGGAAGGUGAUCAGCUUGCUUGUAUCGUUUAUGACAACGUCAUGUUCUUUGUCGAUGAUGUAGCGACUCAGUUGAAGCUUCCCAGCAUUGUCCUGCGCACUUUCAGCGCUGCGUAUUUGCACUCUAUGAUCACCAUUUUACAGCAACCUGAAAUAUAUUUACCUUUUGAAGGUAUAUGAGAACAAGUACACAUCCUCUGCUUCAAUAUCUAAAUGAAAAAAAAUGAAAGUAGAAUAAGUUGUUAUUUUUACAGUUUCAGUAAAAUAUUUCGGUACAUUUUUUCCUUGCAUUGAUUACUCACUACAAUUUUCAGAUUCUCAGCUGCUGGAUCCGUUACCGGAGCUUCAUCCCUUGAGAUUUAAGGAUGUACCGUUUCCUAUCAUCAAUAAUACAGUUCCAGAACCGAUACUAGACUUCUGUAGAGCAAUGAGUGAUAUAGGAUCAUCUGUCGCGACUAUAUGGAACACGAUGCAAGACUUGGAGAGUUCAAUGUUGUUACGCCUUCAAGAACAUUACAAGGUGCCCUUUUUUCCAAUAGGCCCGGUACACAAAAUGGCAUCUUUGGUCUCAUCGACUAGCAUACUAGAAGAAGACAAUAGCUGCAUCGAGUGGCUCGAUAGACAAGCCCCUAACUCUGUUCUCUAUGUCAGCUUGGGUAGCCUAGUGAGGAUUGAUCACAAAGAGUUGAUUGAGACUGCUUGGGGAUUAGCUAAUAGCGAUCAACCGUUCUUGUGGGUUAUUCGACCUGGCUCUGUCUCUGGCUUUCAAUGUGCUGAGGCACUGCCUGAUGGUUUUGAGAAAAUGGUAGGAGAAAGAGGACGAAUAGUGAAAUGGGCACCACAAAAACAGGUGCUUGCACAUCCCGCGGUAGCAGGGUUUUUCACUCAUUGUGGUUGGAAUUCUACGCUUGAAAGUAUAUGUGAAGAAGUCCCUAUGGUGUGCAGGCCAUUUCUAGCAGACCAACUGGUGAACGCAAGGUAUCUGAGCCAAAUAUACAAGGUUGGGUUCGAAUUGGAGGUUAUCGAGAGAACGGUCAUAGAGAAAACAAUAAGAAAACUCAUGUUAAGUGAAGAAGGCAAAGAUGUGAAGAAAAGAGUAGCAGACAUGAAACAAAAGAUAGUUGCUGGAAUGCAGAUUGAUUGCACUUCACAUAAGAAUCUGAAUGAUUUGGUAGACUUCAUUUCUGCCUUGCCAUCACGACUCGCUCCGCCAACGCCUGUCUUUGGGGCAAUCAUGAGCUCAAACCACAUAGCAAGCAAGUGUAUCAUAGAGUCUUGAAGUUAUUUUUGAGCUCAAACCAUAUUUCUGUGGCCCCUUAGCUUGGCAAGACAAUAAGUCCUUAAUCACAAAAGGAAGAAUAAGAUAAGAAGUGAACUUUUCAUAAAUCCAUGGUGCAAAUGCUGAAGCAAUUUACUUUAGUUUGUUGAUUGGUUUAUAAGUUGGGAACCUUGACAUAUUGUUUUCUAGUUGGUAGGAAAAUAUUUUCGUGGAAAAUAAAUGAUUUUCAAACUUAUUUUUUAGUUUUUGAUUAGUAAAGAAUAUUAUUGUCCCAAGAGUAUCUAUGUACACCUAGAUCUGGAACCACCCUAUAACAUAAACACGGACUUGACUCGACCUGACCUUACCCCAACACUGACCUAAGACAAAACCCUGACCUCAACACCGACUCAAAACUUGAUCCUCGACCAGACUAUGACCUAACCUUAACCUAGGAUCUGACAACUGACCCCAUGUCACGAACUGCAAUCCGAAGUUAACUCUGGACCUAACCUCAACCUAGAUCCAUGACCCCGUCCAGAGACCUCAACCACAAACUCCUGACCCCAAUCCCGGGUCCCAACUUGACCCAAGAGUAUAGGAAAAAUGCACAAGUACCCCCUCAACCUAUGCCCGAAAUCACAAAGCCACACUUAUACUAUACUAAGGUCCUAUUACUCCCUGAACUUAUUAAGUAAUUUUUUACCCCUUUUUGGCCUACGUGGCACUAGUUUGAAAAAAAUGUCAACCAGCGUUGGGCCCACAAGAUAGUCUCAUGUAGGCCGAAAAGGAGUAGAAAAUUGUUAACAAAAUAAGUUCUGCGGGGUAAUAGGACCUUAGUUUAGUUUAAGUAUGUCUCUGAGAUUUCGGGCAUAGGUUGGGGGUACUUGUGCAUUAUCCCAAUAUUGAUUUUGUUUUCAACUCAUUUGAUACUAGAUAUUUAUAUGGACAUUCGAUUAUGAGUGACUUCAUAAGUGAGUAACUGUUAAAAUAAAAAUCAAAAUUGUGUGACAUUGUAAGUAAAAUACUCAUAGUUGAGUAACCUUUGGAAUGAAAUUCAAAGUUGAGUAGCUUUCUGAGAUAAAAUGAAGUUUUUACCUUAAUAAUACAAAGGUAAAACAAAUUAAAUUAAGUAGUACAAAAAUUGUAAAUAAAGUUUUUACCUUAAUAAUACAAAGGUAAACCAAGUCAAACUAACCAAUACAAAAUUUGUAAAUGAAGUUUUGACCUUAAUAAUACAAAGGUAAAGCAAGUCAAACUAACCAAUACAAAAUUUGUAAAUGAAGUUUUGACCUUAAUAAUACAAAGGUAAAGCAAGUCAAACUAACCAAUACAAAAUUUGUAAAUGACGUUUUGAUCUUUAAUAAUACAAAGGUAAACCAAGUCAAACUAACCAAUACAAAAUUUGUAAAUAAAGUUUUUACCUUAAUAAUACAAAGGUAAACCAAGUCAAACUAACCAAUACAAAAUUUGCAAAUGAAGCUUUGACCAUUAAUAAUACAAAGGUAAACCAAGUCAAACUAACCAAUACAAAAUUUGUAAAUGAAGUUUUGACCUUAAUAAUACAAAGGUAAAGCAAGUCAAACUAACCAAUACAAAAUUUGUAAAUGACGUUUUGAUCUUUAAUAAUACAAAGGUAAACCAAGUCAAACUAACCAAUACAAAAUUUGUAAAUAAAGUUUUUACCUUAAUAAUACAAAGGUAAACCAAGUCAAACUAACCAAUACAAAAUUUGCAAAUGAAGUUUUGACCAUUAAUAAUACAAAGGUAAACCAAGUCAAACUAACCAAUACAAAAUUUGUAAAUGAAGUUUUGACCUUAAUAAUACAAAGGUAAAGCAAGUCAAACUAACCAAUACAAAAUUUGUAAAUGACGUUUUGAUCUUUAAUAAUACAAAGGUAAACCAAGUCAAACUAACCAAUACAAAAUUUGUAAAUAAAGUUUUUACCUUAAUAAUACAAAGGUAAACCAAGUCAAACUAACCAAUACAAAAUUUGCAAAUGAAGUUUUGACCAUUAAUAAUACAAAGGUAAACCAAGUCAAACUAACCAAUACAAAAUUUGUAAAUGAAGUUUUUACCUUAAUAAUACAAAGGUAAACCAAGUCAAACUAACCAAUACAAAAUUUGUAAAUGAAGAUUUGAACUUAAUAAUACAAAGGUAAAACAAAUUAAAUUAACUAGUACAAAAUUAACAAUACUUAUAUAUAUAAACUUCCUUCAAAAACACAAUUACUGAACUCUUGAAUAGAAGAGAAACUCAAUAAAACAAAGAUGAAAACUCAAAGAAAACAGAGUGUAGUACUAGUACCACUUCCAUGCCAGGGGCAUUUAACACCAAUGCUGCAGCUUGGAAGUAUCCUUCAUUCUCAAGGCUUUUCUGUUAUAAUAGCUCAUCCUGAAUUCAAUACUCCUAAAUAUUCCAAUCAUCCUGAAUUCGUCUUCCAUUCUAUGGAUGACGUAUUAAAGGGAAUCAACAUAUCAUCACCGAGUCUAGAGAACAUAUAUCAUUUGAAUGAGAACUGCAAGGUGCCUCUCAGAAACUACCUUGUUAAGAAGAUGAAAGAGGAAGGUGAUCAGCUUGCUUGUAUCGUUUAUGAUAAUGUCAUGAUUUUCGUUGAUGAUGUAGCCACUCAGUUAAGGCUUCCCAGCAUUGUCCUGCACACUUCCAGUGCUGCAUAUCUGCACUCCAUGAUCACCAUUUUUCAGCAACCAGAAAAAUAUUUUCCUUUCGAAGGUAUGAGAACAAACACAUCCUCUGAUUCAAGAAUUUAAUGAAAAAUCAUUUCGAUAACAAUAACUAUGCUUCAGUCACAAAGUUCCCUCGUUACAUUCAUCACAAGCCAACAUUAUAGAAAAUAAAAAUAAAAAUAAAAAUGAAAGGCACCCUUUACUUGUCGUCCUUACAAAAAAUAGAUAGUCCAAGAUAAUUGUCACUUCAGAAAACCAAGAUAUAAUUAACUAAUAGUUUUCGCUUUUAUCUUUACUCAAUAAAUGUGGAAAGAAAUUAAUGUGGUGGAAAAGAUAGUAGUAUUAAAUUGAGAUCAAAUUACACUUUUAGUUAUUGUUUUCUUAUGGGACGUGCAAAAAAAAUGACAAGUAAAAUGGAACAAAGUGAGUGCAGCAAGUAUAAUUCAGCCUAUAAUAUUUUUCUUCCAUUAUGUUGUAUCAGUUCGCUUAAGUUUGUAUUAAUUACUCACUACGAUUCCAGAUUCUCAGUUGUUGGAUCCGUUACCAGAGCUUCAUCCCUUGAGGUUUAAGGAUGUACCAAUUCCUGCUGUUAAUAAUACAGUUGCAGAACCGGUACUAGACUUCUUUAAAGCAAUCAACAAUAUAGGGUCAUCUGUUGCGACUAUUUGGAAUACGAUGCAAGACAUGGAGUAUCCAAUAUUGUUACGCCUUCAAGAACAUAACAAGGUGCCCUUCUAUGCAAUAGGCCCUUUUCACAAAAUGGCGCCUAUGGCCUCAUCGACUAGCAUACUAGAAGAAGAUAAUAGCUGCAUCAUGUGGCUCGACAGACAAGUUCCUAACUCUGUUCUUUAUGUCAGCAUAGGUAGCCAAAUGAGGAUUAAUGACAAAGAGCUAACUGAGACUGCUUGGGGAUUAGCUAAUAGUGAUCAACCAUUCUUGUGGGUUAUUCGACCGGGCUCUGUCUCUGGCUUUCAAUGUGCUGAGGCACUGCCUGAUGGUUUUGAGAAAAUGGUAGGAGAAAGAGGACGAAUAGUGAAAUGGGUGCCACAAAAACAGGUGCUUGCACAUCCCGCGGUAGCAGGGUUUUUCACUCAUUGUGGUUGGAGUUCUACGCUUGAAAGUAUAUGUGAAGAAGUCCCUAUGAUAUGCAGGCCAUUUCUAGCAGACCAACUGGUGAACGCUAGGUAUCUGAGCCAAAUAUACAAGGUUGGAUUCGAAUUGGAGGCUAUCGAGAGAACGGUCAUAGAGAAAACAAUAAGAAAACUCAUGUUAAGUGAAGAAGGCAAAGAUGUGAAGAAAAGAGUAGUAGACAUGAAACAAAAGAUAGUUGCUGGAAUGCAGAUUGAUGGCACUUCACAAAAGAAUCUGAAUGAUUUGGUAGACUUCAUUUCUGCCUUGCCAUCACGGCUCCCUCCGCCAACACCUGUUGUUGGGGCAUUCGAUACAUCAAGCAAGUAUAUCAGAGAGUCCUGAAGUUAGAAGAAAUACAUAUUUUUGUUGCCUGCUAUCUUAGCAAGACAAUAAGUCCUUAAUCACAAAAGGAAGAAUAAGAUAAGAAGUGAACUUUUCAUAAAUCCAUGGUGCAAAUGCUGAAGCAAUUUACUUUAGUUUGUUGAUUGGUUUAUAAGUUGGGAACCUUGACAUAUUGUUUCAUAGUUGGUAGGAAAAUAUUUUCGUGGAAAAUAAAUGAUUUUUCAUACUUAUUUUCUAGUUUUUGAUUAGUAAAGAAUAUUAUUGUCCCAAGAGUAUCUCUGUACACCUAGAUCUGGAACCACCCUAUAACAUAGACACGGACUUGACUCGACCCGACCUCACCCCAACACUGAUGUAAGACAAAACCCUGACCUCAAUACCGACUCAAAACUUGAUCCUCGACCAGACUCUGACCUAACCUUAACCUAGGAUCUGACAACUGACCCAUGCCACGAACUGCAAUCCGAAGUUAACUCUGGACCUAACCUCAACCUAGAUCCAUGACCCCGUCCAGAGACCUCAACCCUAACUCCUGACCCCAAUCCUGGGUCCCAACUUGACCCAAGAGUAUUGAUUGAUUUUGUUUUCAACUCAUCUGAUAUUCGAUAUUUAUAUGGACAUUCGAUUAUGAGUGACUUCAUAAGUGAGUAACUGUUGGAAUAAAAAUCAAAAUUAGGUGAUUUUAUAAGUAAAACACUCAUAGUUGAGUGACCUUUGGAAUAAAAUUCAACGUUGAGUAGCUUUGUGAGAUAAAAUGAAGUUCUGACAUUAAUAAUACUAAGGUAAAACAAAUUGUAUCAACUAGUACAAAAAAUUUGUAAAGGGAGUUUUGACCUUAAUACAAAGGUAAAACAAAUGAAAUUAAGUACUACAAAAAUUGUAAAUGAAGUUUUGACCUUAAUAAUACAAAGGUAAAGCAAAUCAAACUGACCAGUACAAAAUUUGUAAAUGAAGUUUUGACCUUAAUAAUACCAAAGUUAAAACAAAUUCAAUUAACUAGUACAAAAUUAACAAUACUUGUGUAUAUAAACUUCCUUCAAGAACACAAUUACUGAACUCUUGAAUAGAAGAGAAACUCAAGAAAAAAAAGAUGAAAAUUCAAAGAAAACAGAGUGUAGUACUAGUACCACUUCCAUUCCAGGGGCAUUUAACACCAAUGCUGCAGCUUGGAAGUAUCCUUUAUUCUCAAGGCUUUUCUGUUAUAAUAGCACAUCCUGAAUUGAAUACUCCUAAAUAUUCCAAUCAUCCUGAAUUCGUCUUCCAUUCUAUGGAUGAUGGAUUAAAGGGAAUCAACAUAUCAUUACCGAGUCUAGAGAACAUAUAUGAUUUGAAUGAGAACUGCAAGGUGCCUCUCAGAAACUACCUUGUUAAGAAGAUGAAAGAGGAAGGUGAUCAGCUUGCUUGUAUCGUUUAUGAUAAUGUCAUGAUUUUCGUUGAUGAUGUAGCCACUCAGUUAAGGCUUCCCAGCAUUGUCCUGCACACUUCCAGUGCUGCAUAUCUGCACUCCAUGAUCACCAUUUUUCAGCAACCAGAAAAAUAUUUUCCUUUCGAAGGUAUGAGAACAAACACAUCCUCUGCUUCAAGAUUUUAAUGAAAAAUCAUUUCGAUAACAAUAACUAUGCUUCAGUCACAAAGUUCCCUCAUUACAUUCAUCACAAACCAACAUUAUAGAAAAUAAAAAUAUAAAUAUAAAUGAAAGGCACCCUUUCCAGUCGAUGUUACUUGUCGUCCUUACAAAAAAUAGAUGGUCCAAGAUAAUUAUCACUUCAGAAAACCAAGAUAUAAUUAACUAAUAGUUUUCACUUUUAUCUUUUACUCAAUAAAUGUGAAAAGAAAUUAACGUGGUGGAAAAGAUAGUAGUAUUAAAUUGAGAUCAAAUAAUUAGGAUAAUUUGGUCAAAUUACACUUUUAGUUAUUGUUUUCUUAUGGGGCGUGCAAAAAAAAAAGACAAGUAAAAUGGAACAGAGUGAGUGCAGCUAGUAUAAUUCAGCCCAUAAUCUUUUUCUUCCAUUAUGUUGUAUCAGUUCGCUUAAGUUUGUAUUAAUUACUCACUACAAUUCCAGAUUCUCAGUUGUUGGAUCCGUUACCAGAGCUUUAUCCCUUGAGGUUUAAGGAUGUACCAAUUCCUGCUGUAUAUAAUACAGUUGCAGAACCGGUACUAGACUUCUUUAAAGCAAUCAACAAUAUAGGGUCAUCUGUUGCGACUAUUUGGAACACGAUGCAAGACAUGGAGAAUCCAAUAUUGUUACGCCUUCAAGAACAUUACAAGGUGCCCUUCUAUGCAAUAGGCCCUUUUCACAAAAUGGCGCCUACGGCCUCAUCGACUAGCAUACUACAAGAAGAUGAUAGCUGCAUCAAGUGGCUCGACAGACAAGUUCCUAACUCUGUUCUUUAUGUCAGCAUAGGUAGCCAAAUGAGGAUUAAUGACAAAGAGCUAACUGAGACUGCUUGGGGAUUAGCUAAUAGUGAUCAACCAUUCUUGUGGGUUAUUCGACCGGGCUCUGUCUCUGGCUUUCAAUGUGCUGAGGCACUGCCUGAUGGUUUUGAGAAAAUGGUAGGAGAAAGAGGACGAAUAGUGAAAUGGGCGCCACAAAAACAGAUACUUGCACAUCCCGCGGUAGCAGGGUUUUUCACUCAUUGUGGUUGGAAUUCUACGCUUGAAAGUAUAUGUGAAGAAGUCCCUAUGAUAUGCAGGCCAUUUCUAGCCGACCAGCCGGUGACAGCUAGGUAUCUGAGCCACAUGUACAAGGUUGGGUUCGAAUUGGAGGUUAUCGAGAGAACGGUCAUAGAGAAAACAGUAAGAAAGCUCAUGUUAAGUGACGAAGGCAAAGAUCUGAAGAAAAGAGUAGUAGACAUGAAACAAAAGAUAGUUGCUGGAAUGCAGAUUGAUGGUGCUUCACAUAAGAAUCUAAAUGAUUUGGUAGACUUCAUUUCUGCCUUGCCAUCACGGCUCCCUCCGCCAACACCUGUUGUUGGGGCAUUCGAUACAUCAAGCAAGUGUAUCAGAGAGUCCUGAAGUUAGAAGAAUUACAUAUUUUUGUUGCCUGCUAGCUUGGCAAGACAACAAGUCCUUUAAUCACAAAGGAAGAAUAAGACUAGAAUCACAAGACUUUCUUAUUUUGGUCUAUUGAUUUGCUUAAUAAGUUGGGAACUUUGACAUAUUGUUUCCUAAUUGUUAGAACUUAGAUAUAUUUACUCUUUGUUAUCCCUAUGUUAAAAAUAUAAUAUGUAGUAUUCAACGAGGGAACUAGUAAAACAAAGGUUGUGUUUGGUAUGAACGAAUAUGUUUUCCUAGAAACAGUUUUGUGGAAAAUAAAUGGUUUUAUUACUUAUUUCCUGGUGUUCGGUUAACAUAAAGAAAAUGUUGUCCCAUGAGUAUUAUGUAUAAUCUGGGAAAAUACUAUGACAUGGUCCCAGACUUGGAUUCCCACCCUUAACAUAGACCAGGACUUGACCCGAUCUCACCCCAGUCAGUCCAAUUAUGAUCAUGUGAAUACUAGUGAACGACUUUAUAUGCAGAAAUGAUAGGUGUUGGAGUGAGCACCAUGGAAUUUUCUGAAACAGGGUGGUUUACCUAGAGGGGAGGUAAUUAAUAGGGUGUUUAUUUGUCAAGGUUCAAUCACUUGAUCGUGCUGCUGCUAAUUAAAUACUGCAUCUUAAGUCUUCGGAAAGAAAUAAAGGCUCUUCUCCUUACUAUGAUAGAUUCCUCUAAAAUAUAUGAGUGUUUUACCAGGUUCAAGGGUGGAGGAGCAGUCAUAAAGUGCCGAAGAAGGCAAGAGUAAUGUCAUUUUGGCUAUGGUUUGGGAACACCUUGUUUCAUUUUUCUACAAGGUCUAACUUGAUAUUCCUUUUUCAUACUCACCAAAGAGUUUAAGUUCAAAUCACGGCACAUCUUUUUUCUAUUAAUUAAUGAUUUCUUGGUCUUCUAUGCGACUAGCCAAGUAGUCUGGUUAGUCGCAUUUGAUUGAGGGUUGAAUACACUCAUAUCAGGCUAAUCUAAACAAGAACCUGAGACUAAAGUAGGAUCACUAUCCAGCAUGUGAAAUUUCACCUAUUGGCAUCUAUGUGCUCCAUAUCUACCAAAUUUUAUUCGUAUACAGAAUUGAAAUCGAUUAAAUAAUGUGUUUAUUCUUUAAUACAUUAACAAGUAACUGCGAAUGUGAUUAAAAAUGUUAAGUCUAGAAGGCAGCCAGCCAUAAGGGAGGAUUUUUGUACCUGAAAAGCAGCAGAGGAUGGUGCUUGGGCUCGAGUAUCCGGAGCUAUAGUUGUCCUGCAAAUAUUUUGCAAUCUGGGAAUCAAUCUUUUAACUCAUUGCAUAUUAAAGAAGGACAAAAGUCUCAUAUCUUUGGUUAAUGAGAUGGGUGGACUCUUAUAAGGUUUCCUCCUCUUUCGAACUAACUUUUGGCAAACCUAAUUUAACAUUGCACCAUCUUCUCUCGGCUUCAUCCAUUUGUAAGAUUUUUUCUCUCUGUUUCCAUAUCCAGUUAGGAGCACAAGUGCUCUUUGAUUUUUUUUUUUUCUCUCAUCCAUUUUGUCGAGCACCUUCACUGCUUAUCAUUCUGAGUGAUCACCCUCAUCUUCUUCUCUCUUUUUUUCCAGAUUUUGGCAUGGCUUAUCAUUCUGAGUGAUCACCCUCAUCUUCUUCUCUCUUUUUUUCCAGAUUUUGGCAUGGCUAUGCUUUUAAGUAAUAAUCUAUAAACUCAUCUAAACAAGCUUUUAGUCAUUCGAGAGAAAGUUUCUUUUUUUGGAAAUAAAAAUAAAUUCAUUGAUGGAUUGACUAGUAACUUUCUUCGCAUUCACGCCAAGAAAGUUUCAGAGUAAAACAUAAAACACUCUCUAAUAAAGUUAAUUCGAUACACAAUAAGACUCGACCGAAAAUUUUACUUAAAAAUUAAAUAGUUAUACUCCACCAUAAUAAAAGAGAGUUAUGUACUUAUGAAUGAAGCGGAGGUUAUGAAAUAAGUAGUGAUGUAACUUUUAAAUGAAUAUGAAUUACAAGUCUCAACGUUACUUAACAAAGUUUCCAUAGUGAUCAUGUAAGAAAAUGCUAAGACCAUAGGGGGUGAUAACACACUCAUAGUUACAGAGAAGAAGGUAAGUAUUAUUUCAUAUAAAUCUGCAAGUAUAAAUCUUCCCAAUUAAAUGUAGAGAUGAAAGAAGGUUGAUUGAUAACUGGAUAAGUAACUAGGCAUGGAAGAAAUACUAGAACAAAAAACAUUUUAAAAAUAUGCACAUCAUAUAACUCAUAUGGUUUUCUUAAAAAAAAAAAAUACUUAACAUGAAAUAUACGUGCGUUGCACGUAUUCGAGAACUAGUUUCUUGAUAUAAGCGUCUCACACGUGAUAACGUAAUUAUUGGAUUUAGAAGACUUACAUAAUAUAAAGACAAACAGCACCAAUCUCAAGAUUGAGGGCUUUUACUCCUUUUUGGGAAUUGAGAACGGUGAGUUGUCCCAAUUCAUCACCACUUAUUCAAUAGCUGAGCUAAAGGUAACUACUUGAUUCACGUUAACCCAAGACUUCAAUGCUAGAUCUGCCCCUGUUAUACAUAAACUUCCUUCAAAGAAAACUACUACUAAAUUUUUGAAUAGAAGAGAAAACAAAGAUGAGAGUUGAAAGAAAACAGAGUGUAGUACUAGUACCAUUCCUACUCCAGGGGCAUUUAACACCAAUGCUACAGCUUGGAAGUCUACUUCAUUCACAGGGCUUUUCUGUUAUAGUUGCACAUACUCCACACAAUGCUCCUAAUUAUUCCAAUCAUCCUCAAUUCGUCUUCCAUUCUAUGGAUGACGCAUUACAGGGAAUCGACAUGUCAUUCCCGAGUUUAGUGCAUAUAAAUUGUAUGAACAAGAAUUGUAAGGAACCCCUGAGAAAUUACCUGGUUAGUAUGAUGGAAGAGGAAGGGGAUCAGCUAGCUUGUAUCAUUUAUGAUAACAUCAUGUUCUUCGUCGACGAUGUAGCGACUCAGCUGAGGCUUCCCAGCAUUGUCCUCCGCACUUACAGUGCUGCGUAUUUGCACUCUAUGAUCACCAUUUUACAGCGACCAGAAAAGUAUUUUCCUUUUGAAGGUAUGAAAGCAAUUACACCAUCCUAUGCUUCAAUAUUCGAUAAAUUUAUCGCAUUGAUUACUCACUUGCAAUUUCAGAUUCUCAGCUGCUGGAUCCGUUACCGGAGCUUCAUCCCUUGAGGUUUAAGGAUAUACCAAUUACUACUGUUAAUAAUACAGUUCAAGCACCGUUGCUAGAAUUCAGCAGAUCAAUGAGUGAUAUAGGAUCAUCUGUUGCGACUAUAUGGAACACGAU